RNAcentral lists this ribosomal RNA (253 nucleotides) under uncultured bacterium. Its description in RNAcentral is "partial 16S ribosomal RNA". It matches the Rfam family "Bacterial small subunit ribosomal RNA", at positions 524 to 776 of the family's 1533-position model. The record is from RNAcentral.
UACAGGGGGUGCAAACGUUGCUCGGAAUCAUUGGGCGUAAAGCGCACGUAGGCGGUUUGUUAUGUCGGAUGUGAAAGCCCUUGGCUCAACUAAGGAAGUGCAUCCGAAACUGGCAAGCUGGAGUACUAAAGAGGGUCGCGGAAUUCCCGGUGUAGCGGUGAAAUGCGCAGAUAUCGGGAGGAACACCGGUGGCGAAGGCGGUUCUCUGGGCCUGUACUGACGCUGAGGAGCGAAAGCGUGGGGAGCAAACAGG